RNAcentral lists this microRNA precursor (105 nucleotides) under Canis lupus dingo (dingo). Its description in RNAcentral is "mir-8834 microRNA precursor family". It matches the Rfam family "mir-8834 microRNA precursor family". The record is from Rfam by way of RNAcentral. Lineage: Eukaryota; Metazoa; Chordata; Mammalia; Carnivora; Canidae.
AGGAGGAACAACCGCAGUGGCGGGGCCAGCUCUGCAGCCCUGGAGUCAGCCCCCGCAGUAGCUCCAGAGCUCUUCCUCUGCAGGGCCUGGAGGCUCUGGGGCGGG